GGGUCAGUAGGUUGGUCGUGCCACCGGUACGUACUGGUCUCACUGAUUCCUCCUUCCUGAAGAACCGUAAUGCCAUUAAUUUGGUGUUGCGGGGAAACAGGACUGUUACUUUGAAAAAAUUAGAGUGUUUAAAGCAAUAUAACGCUUGAAUACAUUAGCAUGGAAUAAUGAAAUAGGACGAUCGAUCCUAUUUUGUUGGUUUCUAGGAUUGACGUA
This 216-nucleotide ribosomal RNA is filed under the name Glomeromycotina sp. Its description in RNAcentral is "partial small subunit ribosomal RNA". The stretch from base 40 to 216 matches the Rfam family "Eukaryotic small subunit ribosomal RNA", at positions 686 to 864 of the family's 1831-position model. The record is from RNAcentral. Lineage: Eukaryota; Fungi; Glomeromycota.